GAAGAUUUGAACUCAGGUUUUUGUGAUGUUACAUCCAGCACUUCAGCCUCUAUGAUAUGCCACUGCUAUAUAAACAUAGUAAUACCUUUCAAAUGGUAAGAAUAAUGAUUCUAGCAUUAUUCACCUAGUAGGUUUCUGCAUUCUGUUUCUCUUUAUGCAAAUGCCUUGGAGUUUACUGCCCUUGCCAAUGUGGCUUAAGACUAAGAAGUCCCCAUUGCUACCUCUUAGUCAGAGCCUGGUGCUAUGCAACCCUUAGUCAUUCGGUCAACAAAGUUUUGAUUAAGCAGCAGCUAGUGUGCUAAGCACUAGAAAUCCAAAGGAAGGGGCUAGCUUGUUGCCCUUGGGGAGCUCAUGUUUUAAUGCCUGUGUAUUGAGCAAAUAUAUUGAGAAGAUGGUAGGUCAUUUCAGAGCCUAAGGCACGAGUAAGCAGCAGAGGGACGGAAAGGUCUUCUGCAAAACAUGGAAUUUGAGCUAAGACUCUAAGGAAGUCAGGAAGAGAACCCUUAACUAGGCAAGGGGGGAAGUAUGGGGUGAUGGUCUGGAAAAUAAACAAGGGAUAGAGGGAAAGAAGGACACAGUGAGAAUGAAGAACAGGGUUGUGGGUUGGAAGGCAGGGGCAAAGUUAGACCUCUAUCAGCUCCAUCCCUGCAUAGAUUAAAGUUGUUUCUUUCUGUUCUGUGGUCACAGACUGUGCUCUUAACUCCAUCCUAUGAGCUCCCAGGGGAGAGAAGGCAAAAGAGCAUGGCUGCAGGAAUCAGUACAUAUUGUUUCCCCAGCUAGAAAAACAACUCAACAUCCAUCCUACUCAAUCGGCUCAUUGGCUCAAUGGCUCAGUCUGGAGAGUCAUCUUUAUCAGAGAGCACAUGGAAAUAUAGUUCUCUAGUAUUUUGAACUCACUGCAAUCCGGGAUGGUGAGAGAUUGAGCGACAGUGUGGUCUAAGGAGAGACCUACUUUCAGAUCCUACUUCAUCUACUAUGGUGAUCAUGGGUAAGUCACUUUGAGACUCAGUUUCCUCAAGUGUAACAUGAGAAUGAUACUAUCAGUAGUCCCAAUCUCACAAGGUAGUUGAAAGGUUCUAUUGUGACAAUUUUGGUAAAUUUUUCUGCUAACCUUAAAGUGCUAUGUAAAUAUUAUCUAUUGUUAUUGUUUUUAUUAUGGGAUUGAAAACCAUGGUCAUGUAAGAUCCAGAUGAAGGAAGUGGAGGUAUUUAGCCUGGAAGAAGACUUUGGGGUCGUGAUAAUUGUCUUCAAAGAUUUGUAUUCAAAUCUUUUUUCAACACACAAGGCACUUCAUCUCUCAGCUCUGAU
This 1308-nucleotide long non-coding RNA is filed under the name Sarcophilus harrisii (Tasmanian devil). RNAcentral's name for it is "lncRNA (ENSSHAG00000027730.1)". The record is from RNAcentral. Lineage: Eukaryota; Metazoa; Chordata; Mammalia; Dasyuromorphia; Dasyuridae.